Molecule: unclassified non-coding RNA, 320 nt
Filed under: plant metagenome
Description: partial contains 5.8S ribosomal RNA, internal transcribed spacer 2, and large subunit ribosomal RNA
Rfam family: 5.8S ribosomal RNA (bases 1-105)
Source: RNAcentral
GAAAUGCGAUAAGUAAUGUGAAUUGCAGAAUUCAGUGAAUCAUCGAAUCUUUGAACGCACAUUGCGCCCGCCAGUAUUCUGGCGGGCAUGCCUGUUCGAGCGUCAUUACAACCCUCAGGCCCCCGGGCCUGGCGUUGGGGAUCGGCGGAAGCCCCCUGCGGGCACAACGCCGUCCCCCAAAUACAGUGGCGGUCCCGCCGCAGCUUCCAUUGCGUAGUAGCUAACACCUCGCAACUGGAGAGCGGCGCGGCCACGCCGUAAAACACCCAACUUCUGAAUGUUGACCUCGAAUCAGGUAGGAAGACCCGCUGAACUUAAGC